AUCGAGGUUUGUUAAUAAUAAUAUACGGAAAGAGCGCGUGUAAAAUAAAAUUGAUGGUUCAUUUAUUCCGUUACAGACGAGAAGGUUGUGGAUUGACAGUGGAGCAAACGACAGAACAGCGAGUGUGAAGAUUUUGCGUUUGGUAGAGAUGCCUAUUAGGAGCUUGGUAGAGGUGGAGUCACCAAGCCCACUCAGAUACUUGAUCGGCGCCGCCGUUAUGAUGAUCGGAGUGGUGUUACCCGUCGGUUACAUGAUGUUCCGUAACAAGCGCGUUCCCUCCUCUUCCUCCUACUCCAAACAGACGUAGGAACAAGGUUUUGAUUUGAUAUAGAGAAAUGGUGGUUAUGAUGUGAGAAGCCUCCGGUUUAGUGGAUUUGAAUUUGUUUGGAGGGGGUGAUUGAUUUAACUUAGAGGCUUCAACAGAUCUACCAUCUGUUCUGUUGUAAAUGCAUUUUGUCAUCCUAAUCUUCUAAGUGUUUGUUCACUUGAUUCUGAACUCUAAUACAUGCUGCUUGUCUUUCCGUUAAGAUACUCUAUCUUGUAUUCAAUAUUGUAGCUCAACAAAAUUUCAAUGAACUUGUUUUUCUUUCAUUUAUUUA
Molecule: RNA transcript, 599 nt
Organism: Vigna unguiculata (cowpea)
Lineage: Eukaryota; Viridiplantae; Streptophyta; Magnoliopsida; Fabales; Fabaceae
Source: RefSeq, a predicted model, not a curated record